This 1233-nucleotide long non-coding RNA is filed under the name Trifolium pratense (red clover). RNAcentral describes it as "long non-coding RNA (TPRA_LNC006420)". Lineage: Eukaryota; Viridiplantae; Streptophyta; Magnoliopsida; Fabales; Fabaceae. The record is from RNAcentral.
UCUGUAACACUCCAUUCCAUUUGAAUCAAUAAAACUCUGUUAUUUUGCCCUGUUAUUUCCAAAUUUUGUUUUACUGUGAUUGGUUUCUAACAGAGAUCUUAUGUACUGGUGUAUUAAUAACAUUUGGUUGAAAACACGUUGAGUGUGAUUCCUUCUGCUUGCCUUUUUCUGCAUUUAGAUUACUGACACAAUCAGACAAUUGUGUACGUUCUUUCUGCCAUGUGCUUUCGCUUUCUUGGUUGUCUAGGCAGUCGGAUUCAUGGGAUGACAGCGAGUUUUUAGAUGGACUCAUGAACUUGCUCAGUCUAGUCAGUAACAUUUUUUAGAAAAAUGUCUUCUAAAAGAUGGACUCAAAUGUAAGUUGUUCAGCGACAGUUCAACUUCACUGCAAGUCGAUGAAAGUUCCGUUGACAGUGACCAAUGCUCUCUUCUGCCUGCAUUGAGAAACCAAGUUACAUGAAUGAAAUCAUUUACAAGUUAAAAAAUUCUAUAAUAACAUUUUAAAACUCUUCCAUGAUUUUUUUUCAAGUGCGGAGGUGAAAAGAAAAUAUUGUACACAAGGUUAUGUUUAAUGUUAAGAAUUAUUAAAACUAAGCGAAAAUUAAAGAUUUCUGGAAAAUGAUGUCACAUUGUCUUAAAAUAAUGAAAGAAAUUAACACAAUCAUAGAAAGCUUUGUGACAAGGUAAAAUGAAUUCUUAAAAUUGAGUAUUGGGCCUAAGUCAUCCUUACAAAACCGACUUGUAAGGUGAGGAUUGCCUCUAGUAUAUUAACACUUCAGGCCAUCUCUCAACCGAUGUGGGAAUCUUAACGCACCCUCUCAUGCCCAGCACUAUUGGGCUUGGUACGUGGAUAUAAAUGGUAGGUGGCCUGAUAGUGGAAACCUGAUAACACGUGGCCCAAAGGAUCGUGGACAGGCUCUAAUACCAUCUUAGAAUUUGGGAGGCCUAUACUCAACCACAAAAGCUAGCUUGAGAGUCGAGGUUUGCACUACACUUAUAAAGGGUAUCUCUAUGCCAUAUCUCUAGCCAAUGUGGGACUUCUAACACACCCCCUCACGUCCAGGACUGAACAAGCUGGAAUGUGGAACCAACAACAACGGGUGUCCCAAAUAUGGGAGGUCUCCACAACAAACAACAAAUGGAUCUAGGAUAGGCUCUGAUACCAUCUUAAAAUUGAGUAUUAGGCCUAAGUCAUCCUUACAAAACCGGCUUGUAAGGUGAGGAUUGCCUCUA